This is a long non-coding RNA of Bos taurus (domestic cattle), 6244 nucleotides long. NCBI's taxonomy places the organism in Eukaryota, Metazoa, Chordata, Mammalia, Artiodactyla, Bovidae. The record is from Ensembl.
UGGUGGGCAGGGUGGGGUGGGGUGCGGCGGGGUGGGCACAGGCUAGGCUCUAAGUCCAGGUGUCUGGAAAGACCUUCCAGGUCUCCCAUCAACUUCUUCUUUUAAAAUAUGUUUGUUUAUUUGGCCGUGCUGGGUCUUAAUUGCAGCCCGUGGGAUCUUACGUCCCUUCCAGGAACUGAACCCCCAUCCCCCGCAUUGGAAGGCAGACUCGUAACCACUGGACCGCCAGUGAAGUCCCUCCCACCACAUCCCAGACACGUUCUCUGCCCCGGUUUUCCUUCCCUCUUAUCCUUCAGGGCUGGGAGAGUAUGGCAAACUCAUUUGUCCAAAGUACUGGGGACCCAGGUCACAACCUGCAGCCGGGUAAAUUUACACAGAAAGGCACCCAAGCUGGGCAGGGCGACGCUCAGUGUAAAGGAACGACUCUCUAACGCGAUUCAGUGAGAUCCUGCUGGGUGGAGAGACACACUCAGGCAGGGUGCCCCCGAAUCACAGCCCAGAGGCGACAGCCCGCCUUCCCUAACCCCAUAAUGGGCACAUCCGUGCAGCAAGAGCCACCGGGCCCUGCUCCCUGUGCCGUUGCCGAACGCCACGUGCCUUCCCCGCUGUAUUUCCAGCCUUCACGGCAGCCCUGCGAACUCGGGAGCUUUGCGCUUGCUUUACUAAUAGCAGCAAGGCACAGGCAAGCCUGUCCCCAGAGCCUGCGUUCCUGCUCACUUACAUCCACGUUGUUCAGUCUGCAGGCUGUCACCCACUCGUGGGGUGUGAAAUCAGUGCAGUGGAUCCUGAGCACAACUUUUUAAUAGAAUAAGGUGGAAGAGAGCUUAAAAAAAAAAACAAAAAGCAGUUCACACCGUCAUGGAAGGCUGCUGUCAUAAAGCUGUGGCUUCAGGUGAAAAUCAUGAAUGAAGCCGUAAAAGGAAAGAUGACGUGUCCGUGGCUCCUUUUUCAACGGCACGUGGACAGAGAACGCAAGCAGACCACGUGAUCCAUCGAGCCAAAACCCUCUGUUGUUCUGCACGCUUACUGCUACUUCGCUGCUGCCGAUUGUUAAUUACUGUCAGGUAACACUUGGGAGAUUAAUGGACCUCUCAGUCGAAACAAUAAAGGCUAUUAAACUCACCUGGCAGAAAGCUGAGAGCGAGUUUUGCUGUGCUGCUCUUCCUGCCGCUGGGUGAUCCUGCAUCUCAGCCCACUGUCUCCUCAGUCCUGCUCACAACUAUUUGAGAGAGAAUCCUGAAGCGGUGAAGAUGAAGCGAAAGACUGCCCUGAAAGAGACGGCCACGGCACUGGAACCACAUCAGGGUCUUUUCAAACAAGUCAGCUCUUCGCAUCAGAUGGCCAAAGUAUUGGAGUUUCAGCUUCAGCAUCAGUCCUUCCAGUGAAAACUCCGGACUGAUCUCCUUUAGGACGGACUGGUUGGAUCUCCUUGCAGUCCAAGGGACUCUCAAGAGUCUUUACAACACCUCAGUUCAAAAGCAUCACAUCAAUGAAGAGGUCAAAAUCUCUGGCAGCAAGUGAGGCUGGAUACAAGUGCUCUGCACCUUCUCUCAACCUCUUGCAGGGCUGGUCCCUCUCACCGGCUGGCCCGGCCCUGGCCCAAGGGGGCUCACCUCCAUCACUUGGAGUAGAAAGGAGAAAGCCUGUCACUCCCAGCAUUCCCAGCUCCAAGUCCUGGGAUUCACUCUGAUUGGUCCUGCUUUGGUCACAUGUUCACCUCUGAGCCAAUCCCUGUGGCCAGAGAAACAGAACGCACCAAUUGGCUUAGUUUGAAUCACGGGCUCCAGUCCUUGGUCCCUGCUCUGGUAAGAGAAAUGGGAAAGGGGAGAUGGAUGCUUGGAGAAGCAGAGAGCAAGUCUCUAUUCCCUCAGGCUCUGGUUCCAUUUCUGCCGCUGCCUGGUCAUGUGACCUGGGCCAUCCAUUCCCCUUUAUAGGCUCAGUGGACUACAGUAAAUGAUUUAAAAUCUUGACUUCAUUUUUUUUUUUUUUUUAACUUUUUUUCAAACUCUUACAUGGAAGUGCACUGUGUGAGUCAGGUCCAACCGGACAGUCUGUCCUGGAGGUGGGGGAAGGGCGAGGCCCCUCGGCCUCCAGGCCCCCUUCCUUGCCCCGUGGGGGCCCCAGGAUUCCCACUGUCCCCGCCACCCUGGCAGCCCACGGCCACCUGAGUCAGCAUGAGCCCUGCACCUCUCCUGCACACCAUCCAGGGAACCCUGGACACGGCGAGGUGGCAGCCGCAGGGUCUCAGUGUCCAAAGGGGAGGCUAGGGAUUUGUGAACCCCACUCCCACCAAGGCCCAGCCCCUCAGCACCCUCAGCUGUUUCAGAAAGUCCCUGUCCCUGACCAUGACCUCACCCUGACAAGGAAAUGGUGGGCGUGGGACGGUACAGGCAGAGACUUUAUCUCUGUGGGCGGCUGGGCCAGAAGCCAGGCUGGGGGAGAGAGGGUGACAGCUGUGAACAGAGCCACCUUUGACUCUGGAGGACAAUGCCCUCCCAGUGUCCCCAUAACCCCUUCCUGGUCCCCAGAGCAGGUUAGGUCAAUACUGAGUUGUUUCAAGAUGAUCAUAAAGAGUGACAGCCAAGCUCCUCUCCUACCCUGGCAAUUCGCAGUGCAUAAAAUCCUUUCCUGCUCUUUGGCUCAAUUUUUUUUUUUGUUUAAAAAAUGCAUUGGGGGGUUGCACCACAUCUUGAAGCAAAUAGGACCUUUGAUCUUCGUUGCAGCCUGAGGGAUCUGUAGUUGCAGCAUGUGGGAUCUUGUUCCUCGACCAGAGAUCGAACCCGGGCCCCUGCACUGGGAGUGUGGAGUCCACCAGGAAGUCCCAGCUCAACUGUUUUUGACAACAGCCACAAGAGGCAGCGAGACAAGGGUUAGGUCCCAUUGUGUGAGCUGACAUUGACUGAGCCCCUGUUAAAAUGUUAGUCACUCAGUCGUGUCCGACUCUUUGUGACCCCAUGGACUGCAGCCCCCCGGGCUGCUCUGUCCACAGGAUUCUCCAGGCAAGAAUACUAAAGUGGGGCGCCAUUCCCUUCUCCAAGAGAUCUUCCCGACCCAGGGAUCAAACCCAGGUCUUCUGCAUUACAGGCGGAUUCUUUACCAUCUGAGCCACCAGGGAGCCCCUGCCCUGCGCUAAAUACCUUGUCGACUCAUGUCACCCUCAGUACUGAGAGGAGGCAGGCAGGCACUGUUGUUAUCCCUGUCUCCGAAGAGAACUCUGCAGAGACUUGGGUAGGUGAGCCCAAGCCACUCAGCUGGACAUGGCGAAGCUUCCUCCUGAACCCGUGUCUUCAACUCAAACCAUACGAGGAGCAGUUGACGCAACCACAGCUGCUGUUUCUGUGGAAGAAUAGACUGUCACCUUCGGCAAGUCCUCAAAGGACAGAAUAGGAGAGAAGGAGUGCGUGGGAAUUCUGAGGACAGAGCGAUGCCAACACCAGGAUGCUGCAGGGACACAGAUGCUGACUGGACCUGAGAAAGAACACGGUGACACCCAGAGCUGAGACCAAGGGGAGGGCAGCCUGGUGAGGCCGCGUGCGGGCGGAGGCUGGAUGGCACCGUGUACCUGGGGUUCCCACACUGCUGGGGGCUGGGCAAACACGGUCCCAAUGCUGGAGUUAGAAGUUUUAUGUAUUUCACUAGCAGACCCCGUCUCCGGCCUCAGCCCUCCCCACCCACUCUCCAGAGAACAUCCCUCCACCGUCUUCACCAAACUACCCGAAACUUAGCCGCAUACAACCGCCACCUUAUUACGCUCAGAGUCUUGUUGGUCAAGAGUGGACAGAGCCCAUCGGGGAUGCCCUGACCCCGCUCUGUGAUGUUUGGGGCCUCAGCUGGGAAAACUCAAUGCUGAGUGCCUCUGUGGGUGGGGCUGGAACCAUCUGGAGAGGUCUUCGCUCACAUGCCUGGUUGCUGAUGCGGGCCAUCAGCAGGACCUCAGCAGGGCUGUUGGCUGGACCACUUACCCAGGGUCUCUCCAAGCAGAUGAGUUUGGGCUUCCUCCCAGCAUGGCAGGCGGGUUCAAAGAACAAAUAUCCUGAGAGAGCAAGGUGGCAAAGCAUUUUUAUGAACUGACUUUGGAGAUCACAGAGUGUCAUCCACAAAGCUCCACCGUGUACCUAGGAAGCCCCUCCCGGGCCCAAGGAAGCGGACAGAGACCCCAGCACUGGAGGGGAGGAAUGUCAAAUCACGUUGAAAGAAGAGCAAGCGAGAUUGGAGAGCAUGCUAUAGCCGUCUUCGGAAAAAAGAAAAAAACCCGCGACACAGGCCCCUUCGGAUGGGGUUCCAGCCCUCAGCCUGGAUGAUGGGGUCCCACUUACGCCUCACUGGUCUCUGCACACGCACUUCCUUGGGACUAGAAAACUCAUCCACCAUCCCAAUCCACGCCCCCCUUUGCCUGGCCCAGCCCUACUUGCCCUCCACGGCUCAGCAGGGACACCACCUCCUCCCAGGAAGCCUGCCCUGAACCCUGCCCCCACCGCAGCCGAGAUGGGGCCCCCUUUCGACCACAGCCACAUGUGACCUGCUGGGUGCAGCGGCUUCUCUACUCUGCGAUCUCUAAUAAGAGGGUGGGCCCCACGAGGGCGUGAAUGGUGUUCACCACGUGUCUACCACUAUCUCCCCAGCACUGGGCCAAAUUCCAGCCCCUUUCUGGGUCCUGCUGAUGGACAGCCCACAGCCACUUCCCCCGGGAAGCCUUCCCGGGUUGUCCACGUGUGAGGUGUGUCUCCGGCUCUCCCGCAGGCCCCACUGCAGGCGUGUGGGAAGGCUGGGAUGAAAGCCCGGCGCUCCGCCCCUGUUCCCAAGCCAGAGCUUGUUAUUGCAGUAAAAGAGGCAGCAAAUUACCAGACGGGCUGGGAGCUGUAAUGAUUAAAACAGCGUAUUGUUCUUGGGGCUGCUAAUUGCAUACCUGAGAAAUGAGGCCUGCUCAGCCGUGGUGCCAGGCCCAGCCUGGCAGGGAGCCAGACACAGCCAGGCGACAGGGCAGAAGGGGGUGUCCCAGAAGCAGCAUGUCCCCAAAGGGAGUGGCUGAGCAGCCUCACUGGGGGGCCCCACUGAAAAUACAGAUUUCCAGGCCCUGGCUCAGACCCACUAACGCUGUAUCUGCGGGGGCAGGCCCAGGACCAUGGAUUCUUGACAAGCUCCCAAGGUGAUUCUGAAGGUCCAAGCCUGGGUUUCUGACUGCCCCACCCCAGAGCCAGAUGGAGGCCCGCCUCACUGGCCCAGUUCACCUGGAGAAUGAGGCAAGGCUGAGAGAGUGGCUGCGGGGGAGGGCAUGGAGAGGGCGGUUUCCCCGGGAACUCGGGUCAGAUCUCUUCCACAUGAGCUGGGGGACCCGGGGAGGGUCAGCUCGCCCCUCUGAGCACAGGCUGAUUUUCCCGGAAGCCAAGGGAGCGUAGGCUCGCAGAGCCCCCCGAGAAUCCGAGAGGGAGUUCACCAGGGGGUCCACCCAGCUGGCGUGUGUUGGGCCAUUUACAGAAGUAAGAUGCUUUGGUCUUCUUAGAGUCUCUCCAAAUUGCGUAGGCUUUGGGCUCGCCUAGAAUUGCAAGAGCCAUCACAGGGUGCUGCGGGGAUGGAAGGGGCAGAUGUAGAUCAAGCUGCAGCCCAGAGCCCGGCCACCAAGCGCUCAGGGAGAGAGCGCCUCCGCGUCCUCACCCGUGAGAGGGCCGUGGGGCCGCGGCUCCCUCCUGACGCCGUGCAAGCGUCCGAUGGGUGAAUACAGACGAAGCGCCCAGCUCAGCCCCUGGAGCAGGGCAAGUGCUCUGCACGCCUGGCCAGGCGUGACCCGCCGACGAGCAACCGUGGGACCCAGCGAGUGUGUGAGCAAGCGAGCAGGCCAGCUCGCGAGGGACACGUGAUGCGUGUGGAACCCUGUUCCCCGGAAACGCACAAAGACGCUGAGACCCCCUUUCGCCAAGCCAGUCUAAGAACCGGCCUGCCAAGGGGCAGGGGGCUGGGCUCAGCGACCCAGAUUUCCUGUAGGUCAGGACAAGAGCGACAGAAAAGCCUGGACCUUUGGCCAGUGGUUUCUGGGAAGACACCUGGAUCAGAGGAGGCUGGAAGGCUAGAACAGGAGGAGGGCUGGGGGCCGGAGUUUCAUCCAGGGCAACCCCGCUCCUGUACUCCCGGUUCUACCAGCAAUCAUGAAUGACAUUUUCAUGGAGGACUUCCUGGAGGAGGCGACUUUUGAGGGAGGGAAGUGACAGGGAAGGGCAGAAAGAAGUGCAAGCCAGGAGACACGGGACGC